CAUGGAUAUCUAAGUUUAUUUCUCCGACAUUUCUUUUUAAACAACUUUGUCUGUGUGGAAGGAAUUAUUAUAAUGAUUUGUUAAUAUUGUGAUAAUCAUGAGUCAGUCGAUGAAGCCUCACGUGCUUUUCUGACCGCAGUGCUCCGGCGAAGCGUGCGGUUGAAUGUCAGAAAUCAGAAGUAAUAGAUUGCAUAGAUCUCAUCUCUCUCUCCAUUCCUUGCUUAGUUUAUAUAUUUGUCCGUUAAUAUGAGAUCUCUUCGCCAAGCUAGAGGAACAAUCCCACAAAUUUCAGCAUUGGAGUGAACAACUUGAGCACAGGUACUGUCAGGGCACUCAGCUAUUUGAUCCCACUGGGAAACUGGUUUAGGACUAUCAACUUCUACAGGACGUUUGGUCCAUGAGCUCUACAAAAGGAGAUGACAAAGAACUUGUCAAGUAGCUUUUGGUUACUAGAAUAAGAACAUGACCUCCAUACAACAAUACUGGCAAGUUAGUCCUAAAACCAAUAUGCUGAUGACUUGUGGUGUUUGUUGUUAAACUGUUUACCUCAUUUACCAAAGCGUUUGAAACUAAUGUGUCUUAAUGAAUGACAUGUUAAAUUA
Molecule: long non-coding RNA, 602 nt
Organism: Glycine soja
Lineage: Eukaryota; Viridiplantae; Streptophyta; Magnoliopsida; Fabales; Fabaceae
Exons: 2
Source: RefSeq, a predicted model, not a curated record